Arachis ipaensis is the source of this 341-nucleotide non-coding RNA. The record is from RefSeq and is a predicted model, not a curated record. NCBI's taxonomy places the organism in Eukaryota, Viridiplantae, Streptophyta, Magnoliopsida, Fabales, Fabaceae.
AUUUUUGCACCUGUUUGCCAUUCACAACAUUGGUGGUUAUGGUUGGCUGAUACAAGAAAGCGGAAAUUUUAUAUAGUCGACCCAUAUCACAUGAAAUCUCCAUCCGAUGAGAGAACUGCCCUGAAUACAUUCAUUGGAUAUGUAAUUUCACGAAUUAAAGUAUAUGCUGGGGGCACCUCUGAAGACAAGGGACAAGGACAAGAAAAUUGAACCACCAUACCUUAACAUCUUGGGCCAAAAGACAAGCUAUGACUGUGCUAUCUACGUAAUGAAGUGGCUUGAGAUAUUUCAGCCCGAAAACAUUAAAAGGCAGAAGUAUGAGUGGGACAAUUGGACCCAGG